GAUUCGUCACACUAUCAUUAACUGAAUCCAUAGGUUAAUGAGGCGAACCGGGGGAACUGAAACAUCUAAGUACCCCGAGGAAAAGAAAUCAACCGAGAUUCCCCCAGUAGCGGCGAGCGAACGGGGAGGAGCCCAGAGCCUGAAUCAGCAUGUGUGUUAGUGGAAGCGUCUGGAAAGGCGCGCGAUACAGGGUGACAGCCCCGUACACAAAAGCGCAUGUGCUGUGAGCUCGAUGAGUAGGGCGGGACACGUGGUAUCCUGUCUGAAUAUGGGGGGACCAUCCUCCAAGGCUAAAUACUCCUGACUGACCGAUAGUGAACCAGUACCGUGAGGGAAAGGCGAAAAGAACCCCGGCGAGGGGAGUGAAAAAGAACCUGAAACCGUGUACGUACAAGCAGUGGGAGCCCCACCAC
This 413-nucleotide ribosomal RNA is filed under the name Salmonella enterica subsp. enterica serovar Typhimurium. RNAcentral's name for it is "partial 23S ribosomal RNA". It matches the Rfam family "Bacterial large subunit ribosomal RNA", at positions 137 to 588 of the family's 2925-position model. The record is from RNAcentral. Lineage: Bacteria; Pseudomonadati; Pseudomonadota; Gammaproteobacteria; Enterobacterales; Enterobacteriaceae.